AAUGUCGUAACAAGGUUUCCGUAGGUGAACCUGCGGAAGGAUCAUUAAAAUGUAAUUGGUUAUACAUAUCCUGUAUCAACUGCACAAACCCUAUUCCGAGUACCUUGCCUGUUGCUUCCAAUGGGACCUGACUUUGGUCACUCUUGUGAUGUGAAAUCCCCAAUGAGAGUCCCCCAUGGGAGGUAAUCAUUAAAAUUUCAUGUAUCCCAAUGUCUUCCUGUCUGAACUGUUUAUAACAAAUGUUAAAAU
Molecule: unclassified non-coding RNA, 249 nt
Filed under: plant metagenome
Description: partial contains small subunit ribosomal RNA and internal transcribed spacer 1
Rfam family: Eukaryotic small subunit ribosomal RNA (bases 1-47)
Source: RNAcentral